GCCCGGAUGGUGGAACGCAGACACGGGCAGCUUAAAACUGCUUGGCCUUAGGCCGUGCCGGUUCGAGUCCGGCUCCGGGCACCA
This 84-nucleotide transfer RNA is filed under the name Kitasatospora sp. MAA4. Its description in RNAcentral is "tRNA-Leu". Lineage: Bacteria; Bacillati; Actinomycetota; Actinomycetes; Kitasatosporales; Streptomycetaceae. The record is from RNAcentral.